Molecule: ribosomal RNA, 584 nt
Filed under: uncultured bacterium
Lineage: Bacteria
Description: partial 16S ribosomal RNA
Rfam family: Bacterial small subunit ribosomal RNA
Source: RNAcentral
UGGGAAUUUUGGACAAUGGGCGAAGCCUGAUCCAGCAAUGCCGCGUGUGUGAAGAAGGCCUUCGGGUUGUAAAGCACUUUUGUCCGGAAAGAAAUCCUUGGCUCUAAUACAGUCGGGGGAUGACGGUACCGGAAGAAUAAGCACCGGCUAACUACGUGCCAGCAGCCGCGGUAAUACGUAGGGUGCAAGCGUUAAUCGGAAUUACUGGGCGUAAAGCGUGCGCAGGCGGUUUGCUAAGACCGAUGUGAAAUCCCCGGGCUCAACCUGGGAACUGCAUUGGUGACUGGCAGGCUAGAGUAUGGCAGAGGGGGGUAGAAUUCCACGUGUAGCAGUGAAAUGCGUAGAGAUGUGGAGGAAUACCGAUGGCGAAGGCAGCCCCCUGGGCCAAUACUGACGCUCAUGCACGAAAGCGUGGGGAGCAAACAGGAUUAGAUACCCUGGUAGUCCACGCCCUAAAACGAUGUCAACUAGUUGUUGGGGAUUCAUUUCCUUAGUAACGUAGCUAACGCGUGAAGUUGACCGCCUGGGGAGUACGGUCGCAAGAUUAAAACUCAAAUGAAUUGACGGGGUCAUAGCUGUUUCCU